Molecule: ribosomal RNA, 374 nt
Filed under: uncultured organism
Description: partial 16S ribosomal RNA
Rfam family: Bacterial small subunit ribosomal RNA
Source: RNAcentral
GUAGGUGGCAAGCGUUGUCCGGAAUUAUUGGGCGUAAAGCGCGCGCAGGCGGUUCUUUAAGUCUGAUGUGAAAGCCCACGGCUCAACCGUGGAGGGUCAUUGGAAACUGGAGAACUUGAGUACAGAAGAGGAAAGCGGAAUUCCACGUGUAGCGGUGAAAUGCGUAGAGAUGUGGAGGAACACCAGUGGCGAAGGCGGCUUUCUGGUCUGUAACUGACGCUGAGGCGCGAAAGCGUGGGGAGCAAACAGGAUUAGAUACCCUGGUAGUCAACGCCGUAAACGAUGAGUGCUAAGUGUUAGGGGGGUUUUCCGCCCCCCUUAGUGCUGCAGCUAACGCAUUAAGCACUCCGCCUGGGAGUACGGCCGCAAGGCUG